Nerophis ophidion (straightnose pipefish) is the source of this 1008-nucleotide long non-coding RNA. RefSeq lists it as uncharacterized. Lineage: Eukaryota; Metazoa; Chordata; Actinopteri; Syngnathiformes; Syngnathidae. The transcript is spliced from 3 exons. The record is from RefSeq and is a predicted model, not a curated record.
CCCCCCCUUCCCCUUACCUCGCGAAGGCGAAGUACAUCAAACUGAGCACGGUGCAUGUCAGCAAAGUGAUGGUGUGCGGCCGAUAGAAGAACUCUAUCGUGAUGUCCUCGACCUGCUGCUCGUUUAUCAUUCGGAAAUGCAUCCUGUAGUUCACGUCAUCCUUGCUGAGAGUGUGGGAGCCGCCGCGGUACACUGUCGCCAUAGCUGGCCCGAGCUAGUAGCCCCUCCACCCGGACAUGCGCAGCAAGCCGCAGCAGGGGAGCGGGCGGACAUGGCUCCGGCGGAAGGUCGCGCACCGGCGGCACAGAGGACAUCCGCGAAGGGUAACGGCGGGCGAAAUGGAAACGAUAUCCGAGUGGUGAGCUUUGGUUGGUGUAAACAUUGACAGGGAGUGUCUCCGAACGGAAGAGCCCAUUCUCCAUUAUGAGAUAAGAAACAAGGCGAUGAAGCUUUCCGCAACCAGCAGACUCACAAUCAUCACUCUGACGGCCGCAUGCAGCUGGAAAAAACACAAAGAAAGAAUAUCGAUCACAAGGAGACAAGUUGCCACCACUGACCACAAGAAGCUGAGGAUGUUCAGACAAAAUGACAGUUUCAUCUGUCAGAUGGAAAGAAAAGGACAAUUAAAAUGUUCUUCAUGUUCACUUUAUUGAAAAACGUCUACUUACCACACGCAUGUUUGGAGCACGGCCUGCAGCGUAGCUCAGCAUUCCACUCAGCACAAACUAAAUCAUACCACAACACAAACAUUACUUCCACAACACAGGAAAUAAUGACGAUAUCAAGUUAUGCGAAGAAAAGGCGAAUUGAUAGAAACUAGAAUAUAUUUACCACAACACUGGGAAAGAUGUGGAACAUAUUUUGUGUCAGAUAAAACAUAACACCAAGACUGACCACGGAAACUCCAAUAAGGCAUUGUGCUGCCUGGAAAAGAAGACAAACAAUCAGUUGCUCUUUAAGUUGCGAUAAAAGGGAGACGCAACACCUCCCUGCAAAGCUACAUCCAAA